GCACAUGUGGUCUAGUGGUAGAAUAGUACCUUGCCACGGUAUAAACCCGUGUUCGAUUCCCGGCUAGUACA
Molecule: transfer RNA, 71 nt
Organism: Beta vulgaris subsp. vulgaris (sugar beet)
Lineage: Eukaryota; Viridiplantae; Streptophyta; Magnoliopsida; Caryophyllales; Amaranthaceae
Rfam family: tRNA
About the family: Transfer RNA (tRNA) molecules are approximately 80 nucleotides in length. Their secondary structure includes four short double-helical elements and three loops (D, anti-codon, and T loops).
Source: Rfam